Molecule: long non-coding RNA, 685 nt
Organism: Amphimedon queenslandica
Lineage: Eukaryota; Metazoa; Porifera; Demospongiae; Haplosclerida; Niphatidae
Exons: 2
Source: RefSeq, a predicted model, not a curated record
CCUUUACGUUCACCAUCACUUGUAAGUUAAUUCUGAAUGUGUGUUAAUGUUAGCAAUGUAUAACAACACUGUGAUGUGACAGAGAGUGCUCUACCACAUUAGCAUCAAGUACCGGUAAUUGAGGUAAUUAUUAAUCCAAUUAUUGUGGUUUAUGGAGCACUUCUGCAUGUCCUUUGUAUAGUAUUGUUGUUGUUGUUGUUAGUCUAUUUUUGUGUUUUGAUAGCUGCAUGCCAAUUUAUAGUCACAUGUCAAUGACAGUAGGAUAUGAUUUGUCACUGUCAGCAUCACAGUCAUAGGGAGGCAGUGACACUAGUGUAAAGGAAGUGUCUCCACUUUAUAGCGAUGCUUGGGAAAAAUCGACAGCCACCACCUCUCUCUUUACAACAGCUUCCAAGGAUAGUAGCUAAAUAAUAGUUAUAAAAUAAAAUUUUAAAAUAAAUUUACUAUAAUUUUAGACACACUGCCACUCUCAGUAGUAGUGUUUCAAGAGAAACAAAAUGAUUGCUGACCAGAAUGAUUAUUAGAUAAUUGUGAUAUAACAUGUACUUAUGCAUACAUUAUUGCCUGUAAUGUGUAGCAUGUCACCUUUAUGUGAUUGCACACACCAUGAUACUAUAUUUAGAAGUUGUAAGUAUUUUCACUCCCAUAUUCACAUUCAGUUGCUCUUAUUUGAUUUGAUUAUAAA